This 207-nucleotide ribosomal RNA is filed under the name uncultured bacterium. Its description in RNAcentral is "partial 16S ribosomal RNA". It matches the Rfam family "Bacterial small subunit ribosomal RNA", at positions 568 to 774 of the family's 1533-position model. The record is from RNAcentral.
CGCGUAGGCGGUUUGAACAGUUGGGCGUGAAAUUCCAGGGCUUAACCUUGGGACUGCGUUCAAUACGUUUGGACUUGAGUUCGGAAGAGGGUCGUGGAAUUCCCAGUGUAGAGGUGAAAUUCGUAGAUAUUGGGAAGAACACCGGUGGCGAAGGCGGCGACCUGGUCCGAAACUGACGCUGAGGCGCGAAAGCGUGGGGAGCAAACA